AAGUUUGCGGCUCAACCGUAAAAUUGCAGUUGAUACUGUCAGUCUUGAGUACAGUAGAGGUGGGCGGAAUUCGUGGUGUAGCGGUGAAAUGCUUAGAUAUCACAAAGAACUCCGAUUGCGAAGGCAGCUCACUGGACUGCAACUGACACUGAUGCUCGAAAGUGUGGGUAUCAAACAGGAUUAGAUACCCUGGUAGUCCACACAGUAAACGAUGAAUACUCGCUGUUUGCGAUAUACAGUAAGCGGCCAAGCGAAAGCAUUAAGUAUUCCACCUGGGGAGUACACCGGCAACGGUGAAACUCAAAGGGAAUUGACGGGGGCCCGCACAAGCGGAGGAACAUGUGGUUUAAUUCGAUGAUACGCGAGGAACCUUACCCGGGCUUAAAUUGCAGUGGAAUGAUGUGGAAACAUGUCAGUGAGCAAUCACCGCUGUGAAGGUGCUGCAUGGUUGUCGUCAGCUCGUGCCGUGAGGUGUCGGCUUAAGUGCCAUAACGAGCGCAACCCUUAUCUUCAGUUACUAACAGGUCAUGCUGAGGACUCUGGAGAGACUGCCGUCGUAAGAUGUGAGGAAGGUGGGGAUGACGUCAAAUCAGCACGGCCCUUACGUCCGGGGCUACACACGUGUUACAAUGGGGGGUACAGAAGGCAGCUAGCGGGUGACCGUAUGCUAAUCCCAAAAUCCUCUCUCAGUUCGGAUCGAAGUCUGCAACCCGACUUCGUGAAGCUGGAUUCGCUAGUAAUCGCGCAUCAGCCACGGCGCGGUGAAUACGUUCCCGGGCCUUGUACACACCGCCCGUCAAGCCAUGGGAGCCGGGGGUACCUGAAGUACGUAACCGCAAGGAUCGUCCUAGGGUAAAACUGGUGACUGGGG
This 871-nucleotide ribosomal RNA is filed under the name uncultured bacterium. Its description in RNAcentral is "bacterial SSU rRNA". It matches the Rfam family "Bacterial small subunit ribosomal RNA", at positions 598 to 1480 of the family's 1533-position model. The record is from RNAcentral.